Molecule: long non-coding RNA, 888 nt
Organism: Agelaius phoeniceus (red-winged blackbird)
Lineage: Eukaryota; Metazoa; Chordata; Aves; Passeriformes; Icteridae
Source: RefSeq, a predicted model, not a curated record
CGCGCCGUCCCUUAUAGGCACGCGAGCCCCCACAGCUGUGGACAUGUUGGUGUCCCCCGUGAAGCGGGAGAAGAUGGAAUCAGCGCUGGACCAGCUCAAGCACCACACCACGGGCUGCACGAGUGUUAGUCUUCUGCCAGUUCAUUAAGUUGGAGGGGAUAAUCUCCCAGCCAGACAAAGGAAGAUAUUGAAACUGAAGAAGCAGCCUUGAGGAUUUUGGUCAUGGUGCUGAGUACCUAGUUCACUGGAGGCAAAAAAUUCUGAACUCAACAUAUGUCAAGCAAUGAAAAUGCCUCAAGCACAUCAAAUACCAGCCCAUUAUCCAGAUUAAUGAAAGAAACUGAGCUGCAAUGUUCACAGGUCCCCGAGGAUUUCCCCAGAAUUUCCCCAGAAUCUACCAUUUGACAUUAAGGAGUAACGGCCAGAAGAUGUGUCGAAGCAUGUUCUUCAGCAUGUCAAGGUGAACUCUCUCCUCCUUGCUGUGACACCUGGGCUGGCAGGGAGGACACAGUGACCUCAGCCAGCCAAUGCUGCCUGUGCCAUCACCUGGCACUGACAUGCUUGAUGGAAAUCAUUUCGCUGGGAUUUUUCUCCUGAGAAGCCUCAGAACAAAUGGAACCAAUAACAAUGGUUCUGCUGGCUGUGGAGUGUGGGCUGGAGAUGGUUUAGCAACAGGGCCAUCUUGGAUUGGUCUCCUGUGCAUUGUUUCUACUUGAUGACCAAUCAUGGUCCAGCUGUGUCAGGGCUGUGAGCAGUCCCAGGUUUUUAUUAUUCAUUCCUCACCAGCUUUCUGAUGUCGCCUUGCUCUUUUAGUAUAGUUCUAAUAUCUCAUUUUCUUUUAGUAUAAUAGAGAUCAUAAAAUAAUAAAUCAACCUUCUGAAAGGUGGA